Non-coding RNA from Notechis scutatus (mainland tiger snake), 279 nucleotides. Lineage: Eukaryota; Metazoa; Chordata; Lepidosauria; Squamata; Elapidae. The record is from RefSeq and is a predicted model, not a curated record.
CUCCGGGCAAGAGCGCCCUUCCGGUCCCUCCAGCGCGAGGGGGGGAAGCAGAAGAAGGCGUUUCCGCUCAGGCGCACAUCCGGGUUCCUUUGUCCCCGGGGUCGCAGCCGGGCGCCCUCCCCGCCGCCUCAGGGAGGAGAGAAGCAGCGUGUUUUUACUGGCAUUGUCACCAGUCUCCAUGAUUAUUUUGGCGUGGUGGAUGAUGAAAUUUUUUUCCAGUUAAGACAAAGAUGUAUAGGAAGAGCUCAGACCCAUUGCAAGUACAGGUAGUCCUCGACU